RNAcentral lists this long non-coding RNA (1208 nucleotides) under Mus caroli (Ryukyu mouse). Its description in RNAcentral is "lncRNA (MGP_CAROLIEiJ_G0006139.1)". Lineage: Eukaryota; Metazoa; Chordata; Mammalia; Rodentia; Muridae. The record is from RNAcentral.
GGGUUUCUACUUUCUGGGGGUACAGAAAAUAGAAACAUGACUCAGAGUUCCUGCCUCAUGGAGUCUGGGAGCUUCCAGGAACACCUCAAGGAGGAAGCAGGUGAGGACAGAGUUGGUUGAGGGAGAGAGUAGCAAGAUGGCUGUUGUAGAGCAGAGUUUACAGGGUCCCCCGUUCUCAGUUCCAAAGCUAGGGUCUUUGUUAUAUAGUAGAAGGUUUCCAUUGCACCCCACUAACAGUGCAAAUCUUGGGGGACAGAGGACCAACUAGUGCUCAGGCCUCCCACUGACACACUCUUGGCCUUCCUAGGGCUCACUACUAUACAACACAGGUGUCAUGUCCCAACACCCACCCAGCUUACCUGCAGAUCCCAGAAGAGCCAAGAGGUUCCGAGGGCACCCUUAAUGAGAUGAGACAAGGCACCUGAUGACACCCUUCCAUUACACCAGGCACCAGUACAGAAAGCAAGCUGUUCUGCGGCACCAGAACAUAUGAAAAGGAAGCGCAGUUUUCCACACACAGUCGCUUCCUGUCUCAGACCCCAUGACUGCAGAGUUCCAGAAAGUAAACACUGUAGAUCCAAGCGGAGUGCCAGAUGGUGGGCUGAAGUAGAACCAGCUCACAGAACCUGGAACACACAGGGCUGGGAGCUCCUUGCUCUCUUCGUCUGCUUCCACCUAUUCAGAUGUCCCUGGGCGGGGUUCAGGAAUAGAAGCUUUCACUGAAGAGACAUCAGGCAUCUAAGGAUCGCUUGACACAGUGGAAUACCAGGCACACAGUGGGAACCUUCUCCCAGUGGGUUGCUAACAGAUGAAGAGCAGAAACAGGAAUGGAUCUUUCCUCUUAAAGUUCCUGCCACCUUAGAUUGGAGACCAAGCCUGCAGAACGUGAAGCUUGGGAAGUCAGAUCACGCUCCAAGAAUGGUGUUGUAUGAGGAAGAUUCUGAGUGCUUGGGAGAAAACUCCAAGAAACCAGGACAAGAGAUUUGUGAUUUCAGUUUCUUCAAAGUCACAAAAUUUUUCUUGGAUUAUGCUUUUGUGCCCCUCCCAGAUGUAGCAGUUUACUUCCGAUUAUUCAUCAUAACUGGCUAUUAUUUGUUUAUACACCUCUAUGGAAAAUCCGUGUGUGGCUUUGGCCUGGGGACUGUACACUUUACUCACUUGGCUCUGAGUAACCCUCAAAGUAUAAAUUGUCUGAUGCUCUGAACAAA